GGGCAGUUAGCUCAGUCAGUUGAGCGUGGCACUAACAAUGCCAAGGUCGUAGGAUCGAUUCCCUUUCGGUCCC
RNAcentral lists this transfer RNA (73 nucleotides) under Apaloderma vittatum (bar-tailed trogon). It matches the Rfam family "tRNA". From Rfam's summary of the family: Transfer RNA (tRNA) molecules are approximately 80 nucleotides in length. Their secondary structure includes four short double-helical elements and three loops (D, anti-codon, and T loops). Further hydrogen bonds mediate the characteristic L-shaped molecular structure. tRNAs have two regions of fundamental functional importance: the anti-codon, which is responsible for specific mRNA codon recognition, and the 3' end, to which the tRNAs corresponding amino acid is attached (by aminoacyl-tRNA synthetases). tRNAs cope with the degeneracy of the genetic code in two manners: having more than one tRNA (with a specific anti-codon) for a particular amino acid; and 'wobble' base-pairing, i.e. permitting non-standard base-pairing at the 3rd anti-codon position. The record is from Rfam by way of RNAcentral. Lineage: Eukaryota; Metazoa; Chordata; Aves; Trogoniformes; Trogonidae.